Molecule: ribosomal RNA, 248 nt
Filed under: uncultured bacterium
Lineage: Bacteria
Description: partial 16S ribosomal RNA
Rfam family: Bacterial small subunit ribosomal RNA
Source: RNAcentral
AGGGGGCUAGCGUUGCUCGGAAUCACUGGGCGUAAAGCGCACGUAGGCGGCUUUCUAAGUCAGGGGUGAAAUCCUGGAGCUCAACUCCAGAACUGCCUUUGAUACUGGGAAGCUCGAGUCCGGAAGAGGUAAGUGGAACUCCGAGUGUAGAGGUGAAAUUCGUAGAUAUUCGGAAGAACACCAGUGGCGAAGGCGGCUUACUGGUCCGGUACUGACGCUGAGGUGCGAAAGCGUGGGGAGCAAACAGG